AGAAUCAACGCUGGCGGCGUGCCUAACACAUGCAAGUCGAACGAGGAAGUGGAGCAAUCCAUGAGUAAAGUGGCGCACGGGUGAGUAACACGUGACUAACCUACCCUUGAGUGGGGGAUAACCUAGGGAAACCUGGGCUAAUACCGCAUAAUACCUUCGGGUCAAAGGAGCAAUUCGCUUAAGGAGGGGGUCGCGGCCGAUUAGUUAGUUGGCGGGGUAAUGGCCCACCAAGACUGUGAUCGGUAU
RNAcentral lists this ribosomal RNA (246 nucleotides) under uncultured bacterium. RNAcentral describes it as "partial small subunit ribosomal RNA". It matches the Rfam family "Bacterial small subunit ribosomal RNA", at positions 26 to 286 of the family's 1533-position model. The record is from RNAcentral.